AGAGCGAACGCUGGCGGCAGGCUUAACACAUGCAAGUCGAGCGCCCGUAGCAAUACGGGAGCGGCAGACGGGAUAGUAACACGUGGGAACGCGCCCUUCGGUUCGGAAUAACUCAGGGAAACUUGAGCUAAUACCGAAUACGCCCUUACGGGGAAAGAUUUAUUGCCGAAGGAACGGCCCGCGUCCGAUUAGCUAGUUGGUGAGGUAAUGGCUCACCAAGGCUACGAUCGGUAGCUGGUCUGAGAGGAUGACCAGCAUCACUGGGACUGAGACACGGCCCAGACUCCUACGGGAGGCAGCAGUGGGGAAUAUUGGACAAUGGGCGCAAGCCUGAUCCAGCCAUGCCGCGUGGAUGAUGAAGGCCUUAGGGUUGUAAAGUCCUUUUAACGGGGAAGAUAAUGACGGUACCCGUAGAAUAAGCCCCGGCUAACUUCGUGCCAGCAGCCGC
This 448-nucleotide ribosomal RNA is filed under the name uncultured bacterium. Its description in RNAcentral is "SSU rRNA". It matches the Rfam family "Bacterial small subunit ribosomal RNA", at positions 26 to 518 of the family's 1533-position model. The record is from RNAcentral.